AUCUCUGUGAUGCAAUGGGUCAGUUCAUCUGGCUGUUAACCAGGUUGGUGGUUUGAGCCCACCCAGGGACA
This is a non-coding RNA of Podarcis lilfordi (Lilford's wall lizard), 71 nucleotides long. Lineage: Eukaryota; Metazoa; Chordata; Lepidosauria; Squamata; Lacertidae. The record is from the annotation of a GenBank genome assembly.